GGGGCGAUGGCGGAAUGGUAGACGCCGGGGACUUAAAAUCCCCUGACCGCAAGGUCGUGAGGGUUCGACUCCCUCUCGCCCCACCU
Molecule: transfer RNA, 86 nt
Filed under: Chloroflexota bacterium
Lineage: Bacteria; Bacillati; Chloroflexota
Also listed under: 1 other name
Description: Chloroflexi bacterium tRNA-Leu
Rfam family: tRNA
About the family: Transfer RNA (tRNA) molecules are approximately 80 nucleotides in length. Their secondary structure includes four short double-helical elements and three loops (D, anti-codon, and T loops).
Source: RNAcentral